RNAcentral lists this microRNA precursor (124 nucleotides) under Hordeum vulgare. Its description in RNAcentral is "microRNA MIR1122". It matches the Rfam family "MIR1120/MIR1122 microRNA precursor family". The record is from RNAcentral. Lineage: Eukaryota; Viridiplantae; Streptophyta; Magnoliopsida; Poales; Poaceae.
UAUAUAUUCCCUCCGUCCAGAAAUAUUUGUCCUAAAGAUGAAUGUAUCUAGACUUAUUUUAGUUAUAGAUACAUUCAUUAUACUUAUUUAUAAGAUAAGUAUUUUCGGACGGAGGUAGUAUAUA